GGGGGUAUAGCUCAGCUGGGAGAGCGCUUGCAUGGCAUGCAAGAGGUCAUGGGUUCGAAUCCCACUAUCUCCA
This 73-nucleotide transfer RNA is filed under the name Anaerocolumna jejuensis. RNAcentral's name for it is "tRNA-Ala". It matches the Rfam family "tRNA". From Rfam's summary of the family: Transfer RNA (tRNA) molecules are approximately 80 nucleotides in length. Their secondary structure includes four short double-helical elements and three loops (D, anti-codon, and T loops). Further hydrogen bonds mediate the characteristic L-shaped molecular structure. tRNAs have two regions of fundamental functional importance: the anti-codon, which is responsible for specific mRNA codon recognition, and the 3' end, to which the tRNAs corresponding amino acid is attached (by aminoacyl-tRNA synthetases). tRNAs cope with the degeneracy of the genetic code in two manners: having more than one tRNA (with a specific anti-codon) for a particular amino acid; and 'wobble' base-pairing, i.e. permitting non-standard base-pairing at the 3rd anti-codon position. The record is from RNAcentral. RNAcentral also lists the same sequence under 1 other name. Lineage: Bacteria; Bacillati; Bacillota; Clostridia; Lachnospirales; Lachnospiraceae.